UCCUCCCUGAGUGUGUUUGGUUGCUAUGGAGAUAGCAGCACGCUGGAACUGUGGGAGGCAGGAUGAAGAUCUUGCAACACUUUCCCUAAUCCACACAGAGCAUUAACUUUUGCUUUUUCAGUGGCCACUUUCUGCUGCUGCCGCCGCCAUGCGAGACCCUCUGAAACAGCUUUGACUUUGUGGCCUGGCUCCCUGGUGUGACCUUAGACAAACAAUGGAAAUCGCUGCACACAACAUUCUGCCACCAACAUCUGCACGAAUACUUAAUGCAUCCUGUCUCAGAAUCACUGCAGUAUCCUCUCCACUUUUCACCUGCUCCUGGCUUACCUGAGCAUCAAAACCACCUGAUCGCAUGCUUCCCCUGUAAGAUUGGGCAAGACUUAAUGUUAUUAACACAAAAUUCUUAGGAUUGUACUUAAGUACUGUGUCCUGGAUCUCAGUGUGCCCCCUCAGCCUGAAAUGUGUACAGGCAAUCUUGAUGUCCUACUAAAGAGCCAGUCACAUGAGAGAUGGGUUUCCCCCUACCCUUUACCUCUGGCUCUGCUGCUAGAUUUAGCAGCAAGUAUCAGGUGGUGGCUGGGGUAUGGAAAAUAUGGCCCUGAAAGGUAGCUUCCUUAGCCUUCCACAAGAAGUAAAGAGGUCUUUCUCAAAGGAACACAUUGGUUGCUAAGCAUGUUAAGCAUUUUAAGCUAUUCCUGGGUGCAACUUUUAUUAAUAAAAAAAAAACUACCAUUUGUUUCA
Molecule: long non-coding RNA, 741 nt
Organism: Xenopus laevis (African clawed frog)
Lineage: Eukaryota; Metazoa; Chordata; Amphibia; Anura; Pipidae
Exons: 3
Source: RefSeq, a predicted model, not a curated record